GGGGAUAUAGCUCAGUUGGUAGAGUGCUUGCCUUGCAUGCACAAGGCCCUGGGUUCAAUCCCCAGGACUACCC
Molecule: transfer RNA, 73 nt
Filed under: Ictidomys tridecemlineatus (thirteen-lined ground squirrel)
Lineage: Eukaryota; Metazoa; Chordata; Mammalia; Rodentia; Sciuridae
Description: Spermophilus tridecemlineatus (thirteen-lined ground squirrel) tRNA
Rfam family: tRNA
About the family: Transfer RNA (tRNA) molecules are approximately 80 nucleotides in length.
Source: Rfam by way of RNAcentral